AUACGUAGGGUGCAAGCGUUAAUCGGAAUUACUGGGCGUAAAGCGUGCGCAGGCGGUUUUGUAAGACAGAGGUGAAAUCCCCGGGCUCAACCUGGGAACUGCCUUUGUUACUGCAAGGCUAGAGUACGGCAGAGGGGGAUGGAAUUUCGCGUGUAGCAGUGAAAUGCGUAGAUCUGCGGAGGAACACCGAAUGCGAAGGCAUUCCCCUGGUCCUGUACGGACGCUCAUGCACGAAAGCGUUGGGAACUAACGGGAUUAGAUACCCUGGUAGACCGCGCCCUAGAGGAUGUCAACUUGUUGUUGGGUCUUCAGUGUCUCAGUACCGAAGCUAACGUAUUAAGUAGAACGCCUGGGGAGUACGGACGCAAGGUUGAAACUCAAAGUAAUUGACGGGG
RNAcentral lists this ribosomal RNA (395 nucleotides) under uncultured bacterium. RNAcentral's name for it is "partial 16S ribosomal RNA". It matches the Rfam family "Bacterial small subunit ribosomal RNA", at positions 523 to 918 of the family's 1533-position model. The record is from RNAcentral.